This 706-nucleotide long non-coding RNA is filed under the name Homo sapiens (human). RNAcentral's name for it is "HSALNT0366380". The record is from RNAcentral. Lineage: Eukaryota; Metazoa; Chordata; Mammalia; Primates; Hominidae.
AGCAACCCGCUCGGGUCUCCUUUCACGUGGUGGAAGCUUUGUUCUUUCACGCUUUGGGUCUGCACUGCUUUUAUGAGCAGUAACACUCACCACGAAGGUCUGCAGCUUCACUCCUGAAGCCAGUGAGACUAUGAGCCCACUGGGAGAAACGAAUAACUCCUAGACUUGCUGCCUUAAGAGCUGUAACACUCAACGCGAAGGUCUGCAGUUUCACUCCUUAAGCCAGCAAGACCACAAACCCACCAGAAGGAAGAAACUCCAAACACAUCUGAACGUCAGAAAAAACAAACUUCAGACGCGCCACCUUAAGAGUUGUAACACUCACCUCACCGCGAGGGUCCGUGGCUUCAUUCUUGAAGUCAGUGAGACCAAGGACCUACCAAUUCCAGACACACCCUGGGCCCCCUUUUUUUCUUUCUCUACACUUUGUCUCUGUGUCUCUUUUCCAAGUCUCGUUCCACCUAAUGAGAAGUGCCCACAGGUGUGGAGGAGCAACCCAUCCCUUCAGGCAGGUGCCUGUAAUCCCAGCUACUCAGGAGGCUGACGCAGGAGAAUUGCCUAAACCCAGGAAGCGGAGGUUGCAGUGAGCUGAGAUGGUGCUAUUGCAUUCCAGCCUGGGCGACACAGCAAGACUCCUUCCCCAUAAAUAAAUACUCUCCAGCUAGAUUACCAGCUCCUGUUGUACCCACAGUAGGUACCUUCCAGA